RNAcentral lists this ribosomal RNA (735 nucleotides) under uncultured bacterium. Its description in RNAcentral is "bacterial SSU rRNA". It matches the Rfam family "Bacterial small subunit ribosomal RNA", at positions 28 to 776 of the family's 1533-position model. The record is from RNAcentral.
GACGAACGCUGGCGGCGCGCCUAACACAUGCAAGUCGAACGAGCGAGAGAGAGCUUGCUUUCCCGAGCGAGUGGCGAACGGGUGAGUAACGCGUGAGGAACCUGCCUCAAAGAGGGGGACAACAGUUGGAAACGACUGCUAAUACCGCAUAAGCCCACGACCCGGCAUCGGGUUGAGGGAAAAGGAGCAAUCCGCUUUGAGAUGGCCUCGCGUCCGAUUAGCUAGUUGGUGAGGUAACGGCCCACCAAGGCGACGAUCGGUAGCCGGACUGAGAGGUUGAACGGCCACAUUGGGACUGAGACACGGCCCAGACUCCUACGGGAGGCAGCAGUGGGGAAUAUUGCACAAUGGGGGAAACCCUGAUGCAGCGACGCCGCGUGGAGGAAGAAGGUCUUCGGAUUGUAAACUCCUGUUGUUGAGGAAGAUAAUGACGGUACUCAACAAGGAAGUGACGGCUAACUACGUGCCAGCAGCCGCGGUAAAACGUAGGUCACAAGCGUUGUCCGGAAUUACUGGGUGUAAAGGGAGCGCAGGCGGGAAGACAAGUUGGAAGUGAAAUCUAUGGGCUCAACCCAUAAACUGCUUUCAAAACUGUUUUUCUUGAGUAGUGCAGAGGUAGGCGGAAUUCCCGGUGUAGCGGUGGAAUGCGUAGAUAUCGGGAGGAACACCAGUGGGGAAGGCGGCCUACUGGGCACCAACUGACGCUGAGGCUCAAAGGUGUGGGUAGCAAACAGG